AUUGAACGCUGGCGGCAGGCUUAACACAUGCAAGUCGAGCGAGCGGCGGACGGGUGAGUAAUGUCUGGGAAACUGCCUGAUGGAGGGGGAUAACUACUGGAAACGGUAGCUAAUACCGCAUAACAUCAGAUGUGCCCAGAUGGGAUUAGCUAGUAGGUGGGGUAAUGGCUCACCCAGGCCACGAUCCCUAGCUGGUCUGAGAGGAUGACCAGCCACACUGGAACUGAGACACGGUCCAGUCUCCGACGGGAGGCACCAGUGGUGAAUAUUGCACAAUGAGCGCAAGCCUGAUGCGGACAUGCCGGGUAUGUGAAGAAGGCCUUCGGGUUGUAAGGCACUUUCAGCGAGGAGGCGUUACUCGCAGAAGAAGCACCGGCUAACUCCGUGCCAGCAGCCGCGGUAAUUC
This 406-nucleotide ribosomal RNA is filed under the name uncultured bacterium. RNAcentral's name for it is "partial 16S ribosomal RNA". It matches the Rfam family "Bacterial small subunit ribosomal RNA", at positions 30 to 526 of the family's 1533-position model. The record is from RNAcentral.